UCCCCGAAAGGGGAAAGAUUUAUCGGCAAAUGAUCGGCCCGCGUUGGAUUAGCUAGUUGGUGGGGUAAAGGCCUACCAAGGCGACGAUCCAUAGCUGGUCUGAGAGGAUGAUCAGCCACACUGGGACUGAGACACGGCCCAGACUCCUACGGGAGGCAGCAGUGGGGAAUAUUGGACAAUGGGCGCAAGCCUGAUCCAGCCAUGCCGCGUGAGUGAUGAAGGCCCUAGGGUUGUAAAGCUCUUUCACCGGUGAAGAUAAUGACGGUAACCGGAGAAGAAGCCCCGGCUAACUUCGUGCCAGCAGCCGCGGUAAUACGAAGGGGGCUAGCGUUGUUCGGAUUUACUGGGCGUAAAGCGCACGUAGGCGGGCUAAUAAGUCAGGGGUGAAAUCCCGGGGCUCAACCCCGGAACUGCCUUUGAUACUGUUAGUCUUGAGUAUGGUAGAGGUGAGUGGAAUUCCGAGUGU
This 466-nucleotide ribosomal RNA is filed under the name uncultured bacterium. Its description in RNAcentral is "bacterial SSU rRNA". It matches the Rfam family "Bacterial small subunit ribosomal RNA", at positions 190 to 676 of the family's 1533-position model. The record is from RNAcentral.